GACGGACCGUCCGAACGUUACUCGGAAUUACUGGGCUUAAAGGGUGCGUAGGCUGCCUUGCAAGUCGGGUGUGAAAGCCCUCGGCUUAACCGAGGAAUUGCGCUCGAUACUGUGAGGCUCGAGGGAGAUAGAGGUGAGCGGAACUUGCGGUGGAGCGGUGAAAUGCGUUGAUAUCGCAAGGAACACCGGAGGCGAAAGCGGCUCAUGGGGUCUUUCUUGACGCUGAGGCACGAAAGCUAGGGGAGCGAACGGG
Molecule: ribosomal RNA, 253 nt
Filed under: uncultured bacterium
Lineage: Bacteria
Description: partial 16S ribosomal RNA
Rfam family: Bacterial small subunit ribosomal RNA
Source: RNAcentral